AUUGAACGCUGGCGGCAGGCCUAACACAUGCAAGUCGAGCGAACGAAGGGAGCUUUUUCCUGGAUUAAGCGGCGGACGGGUGAGUGAUGCCUAGGAAUCUGCCCGGUCGUGGGGGAUAACGUCCGUAAACGGGCGCUAAUACCGCAUACGUUCUGAGGGUGAAAGUGGUGGAUCUUCGGACCACACGCUUUCUGAUGAGCCUAGGUCGGAUUAGCUAGUUGGUGGGGUAAAGGCUUACCAAGGCGACGAUCCGUAACCGAUCUGAGAGGGUGAUCAGUCACACUGGAACUGAGACACGGUCCAGACUCCUACGGGAGGCAGCAGUAGGGAAUAUUGGGCAAUGGGCGAAAGCCUGACGCAGCCAUGCCGCGUGAGUGAAGAAGGUCUUCGGAUCGUAAAACCCUGUUAUUUGGGAAGAACAAAUGUGAAAUUAACUCUUGACGUUUUGACGGUACCUAAUCAAAAAGCCACGGCUAACUUCGUG
Molecule: ribosomal RNA, 484 nt
Filed under: uncultured bacterium
Lineage: Bacteria
Description: partial 16S ribosomal RNA
Rfam family: Bacterial small subunit ribosomal RNA
Source: RNAcentral